This is a non-coding RNA of Athelia sp. TMB, 102 nucleotides long. NCBI's taxonomy places the organism in Eukaryota, Fungi, Basidiomycota, Agaricomycetes, Atheliales, Atheliaceae. The record is from the annotation of a GenBank genome assembly.
GCCCCCGUUGUCUAAUGGCUAUGACGUCAGACUUCUACUUCACUCGCAGUGAGAUAGCUCUUGUCCAUCUGGAGGUUGCGGGUUCGAGUCCCGCCGGGGGUU